UGCAUGCAUGACUGUAAGCGGCUUUGGAUAAAAGCAUCUGCUAAAGAGCAUAAA
Molecule: non-coding RNA, 54 nt
Organism: Salmo salar (Atlantic salmon)
Lineage: Eukaryota; Metazoa; Chordata; Actinopteri; Salmoniformes; Salmonidae
Source: Rfam